Long non-coding RNA from Camelus dromedarius (Arabian camel), 1061 nucleotides. RefSeq lists it as uncharacterized. The record is from RefSeq and is a predicted model, not a curated record. NCBI's taxonomy places the organism in Eukaryota, Metazoa, Chordata, Mammalia, Artiodactyla, Camelidae. The transcript has 3 exons.
UUUAUGCUAAUAAAGUGACUUAGGGUGGGGUCCCUAGAUAGCCUCGGGGUGGCUCUGGUCACCAGAAAGACUAAGUGAUCAAAGGGCUGAAACUUUCAGCCCCACCCACCAACCUCCAGGAAAUGAGGUAAGAGGGGCUAGAGAUUAAGCACUGCAAAAACUCUUCAACAAAAGCAUUUGAUGCGCUUCCAAACUGGUGAACACUUUUACAUGUUGCUCCUGUGCCGGAGACUUUUCCAGACCCUGCCCUAUGUACAUCUUCAUCUGGCUGUUCAUCUGUAUCCUUUAAAAUAAACCAGCAAAUGCAGUGAAGUGUCUUUCUUAGUUCUGUGAGCUGUUCCAGCAAAUGAUUGAACCUGAGGAUGGAGUUGAGGGAACUCCCUAUUUAGUGGGGGUUGAUAGCAGUACUUCAAUCAGAAGUACGGGGACCAGUAUAGGACUUGUGACCAGCAUCCGAAGUGGGGAGCAGUAUGUAGGACUGAACCUUUAAGCUGAGCCAGAAUUGAAUUGAAUUGUUAAACACCCAGGUGGUGUCAGGUGAAUUGGAGGGUUGGUUGUUGAUUUUGGAAAAAGAGCCUUAAAAAUUUUAAAGUAAGGGAAAGUGGACUAUUAAAAGGAGAAUGGAGUUAUUGGAAAAGGUAUCUGCACAAAUGUCACCUGUUCAGAGAGACCUGGAUUGACCAUUCUUCAUGAGGACAGGAACAUCAUCUGUUUUGUUUGCUGCUAUAUCCUCAGAAGCAAGGGCUCAAAAAUAUUUACUGGAUGAAAGAAUAAAUAGAUAAUGAAUGAACAAGAUGGAAUACUAUGCAACCAUAAAAAAAGAACAGAAUAAUGCCAUUUGCUGCAACAUGGAUGGACCUGGAGAUUGUCAUUUUAAGUAAGUAAGCCAGAAAGAGAAAGAAAAAUUGCAUAUGAUAUCACUUAUACAUGAAAUAAAAAUAAAUAAAUAAAUAAAAAACCACAAAUGAACUCACUUCUAUAUCUAUCAAUGUGAGCCUUCAGAUGAGACCGUGUUGAUUACAAUCUUGUGAGAACUUUUGAAGGAGAAGUUGCUGACCCAC